This 93-nucleotide ribosomal RNA is filed under the name Paenibacillus sp. RU5M. RNAcentral's name for it is "16S rRNA. Bacterial SSU". It matches the Rfam family "Bacterial small subunit ribosomal RNA", at positions 1 to 87 of the family's 1533-position model. RNAcentral also lists the same sequence under 1 other name. Lineage: Bacteria; Bacillati; Bacillota; Bacilli; Caryophanales; Paenibacillaceae. The record is from RNAcentral.
CUUUAUUGGAGAGUUUGAUCCUGGCUCAGGACGAACGCUGGCGGCAUGCCUAAUACAUGCAAGUCGAGCGGACUUGAAGAGAAGCUUGCUUCU